RNAcentral lists this ribosomal RNA (489 nucleotides) under uncultured organism. RNAcentral describes it as "SSU rRNA". It matches the Rfam family "Bacterial small subunit ribosomal RNA", at positions 8 to 509 of the family's 1533-position model. The record is from RNAcentral.
AGAGUUUGAUCCGUGGCUCAGGACAACGCUGGCGGCGUGCUUAACACAUGCAAGUCGAACGGGGACUUAGGUCCCAGUGGCGAACGGGUGAGUAAAGCGCAAAUAACCUGCCUCAAAGAUGGGGACAACAACUCGAAAGGGUUGCUAAUACCGAAUGUUGUGGAUUUAUCGCAUGGUGGAUUUACUAAAGAUUUAUCGCUUUGAGAGGGGUUUGCGUCCGAUUAGAUAGUUGGUGGGGUAAAGGCCUACCAAGUCGACGAUCGGUAACCGGUCUGAGAGGAUGAACGGUCACAUUGGAACUGAGAGACGGUCCAGACUCCUACGGGAGGCAGCAGUGGGGAAUAUUCCACAAUGGAGGGAACUCUGAUGGAGCGACGCCGCGUGAGUGAAGAAGGGUUUAGGCUCGUAAAGCUCUUUUCUUGCAGACGAGUGACUUAUUAGAUAAGUAGGGACGGUAUGUAAGGAAUAAGCCACGGCUAACUACGUGCC